UCUCCGGAUUGGCUUUUGGGAGCCGGCAACGGCACUUGAUUGCUGAGAAGCUGAUCAAACUUGGUCAUUUAGAGGAAGUAAAAGUCGUAACAAGGUUUCCGUAGGUGAACCUGCGGAAGGAUCAUUAUUGAAUAUUCUUGAUGGGUUGUAGCUGGCUCUUAGGGGCAUGUGCACGCCUAUCUUGACUUUAUUCAUCCACCUGUGCACCUUUUGUAGUCUUGGGGGUUGAGAGCAGUCAAUAGUCGGAUGGCUUAUAGCCUUUUCGGAUGUGAGGAAUGCUGAGUGCGAAAGCAUACAGCUCUUCUCAGAAUGACUCGCAAACCUCUCCCUCGAGUACUAUGUAUUCAUAUACCACAUAGUAUGUUGUAGAAUGUGAUCAAUGGGCCUCUGUGCCUAUAAUAAUCAUAUACAACUUCCAGCAACGGAUCUCUUGGCUCUCGCAUCGAUGAAGAACGCAGCGAAAUGCGAUAAGUAAUGUGAAUUGCAGAAUUCAGUGAAUCAUCGAAUCUUUGAACGCACCUUGCGCUCCUUGGUAUUCCGAGGUGCAUGCCUGUUUGAGUGUCAUUAAAUUCUCAACCCCUCUAGCUUUUGCGAGCUAUGAUGGGGCUUGGAUUUGGGGGUUUUGCGGGCCUUUAUUGAUAAUAUAGGUCAGCUCUCCUGAAAUGCAUUAGCGGAGCCGUUUGCAGUCCCGUCAUUAGUGUGAUAAUUAUCUACACUGUGAUGAUUGCUCUCUGAUUAGUUCAGCUGCUAAUCGUCCACUAAUGGACAACACUUAAUGAACUUCUUGACCUCAAAUCAGGUAGGACUACCCGCUGAACUUAAGCAUAUCAAUAAGCGGAGGAAAAGAAACUAACAAGGAUUCCCCUAGUAACUGCGAGUGAAGCGGGGAAAGCUCAAAUUUAAAAUCUGGCGGUCUCUGGCCGUCCGAGUUGUAAUCUAGAGAAGUGAUGCCCGCGCUGGACCGUGUACAAGUCUCCUGGAAUGGAGCGUCAU
RNAcentral lists this ribosomal RNA (993 nucleotides) under uncultured fungus. RNAcentral's name for it is "eukaryotic LSU rRNA". The stretch from base 411 to 564 matches the Rfam family "5.8S ribosomal RNA". Lineage: Eukaryota; Fungi. The record is from RNAcentral.